Long non-coding RNA from Cygnus olor (mute swan), 2019 nucleotides. RefSeq lists it as uncharacterized. The transcript is spliced from 3 exons. The record is from RefSeq and is a predicted model, not a curated record. Lineage: Eukaryota; Metazoa; Chordata; Aves; Anseriformes; Anatidae.
GUGGGCUGGAAAAAAAGAAUUUGGUUUUGGUAUUAUAAUCAAAUUCAAAAAAUAAACCGUAAUGAACAGUUAGAAAAGACUGUCACUUUGGUCAUCAUGGUCAAGGUGCUGAAUGUAGCGUGUGAUUUACCACACUAAUAUAUGAGGAAGAUAGCAGCAGCAGAUGCAAGUCCAACAUUGGCUGCAAGCCUUCUCUCUUCCAAGAUCACUUCUGUAUAAGGGCGAUGCAUCUCUGUGCUUCCAGGUUAUCAGUUAUAUCAGCUGUUUGUAACAGUUUUUCAAUGCUCAAAUUCUCCAGCUCAGCAGACUGCAUUUGGCAAGAGUCUUGGUGUUGCUAAAGGGUAGAUUUCAUUUUAUUUCUAGGUAAGGUGUAUUUCUCUGACCCUAGUGGUGACCCCAAGCAUGCUCUAAGGCCCCAGCAAGUUAAAUUAGCCCUUGGCUCACUUUCAUUUGUACACAGCUUCAAACCCUUCAACAAACUCCUGACUCCUAAAACACAUCUGAGUUCCAGGUGCGUGGUUAUCUCUCCCCUGCACUUUGGUUAGUGAGUUGUAGCUGUCUAUAAUGUGCAAAACAAGUGCAAAAUGCUAUGUCAAAAAUCUCCUUUCAUUUAGGCUUUGUUCAGGGUCAAAUACCUUUGCACAGGAGCAAAGCCAGUGUUGCAAGGAAACAAAUCCCACUUAGUGGUGUGUUAGAUACACGGCAGCCACUAGCAGAAGGUCCUGGACUUGUAAAUAUGAGCAAUACUCCGUGUGUCAACAAAAUGAGGUUGGAUAUUUUUAACUGUUGACUUCUUUAUACAGCAGUUAGAAAAUGAAGAAUUAAAGGUGAGCAGUUAAAAGUACAAACACUGUCAAGCAAAUUUAUUGAUGAGAUGACGGGCAAAAUCCUCAGGACAUUGGACACUGCCUGGUGAAAACAGAGAUUCAUGUUUUUACAGCCCAGAAAAGCCACUUACUGAGGAAUUAACAACACUAACUUAAGGAGGCGGACGUGAAUGUUAGGUUCAGCACCUGCUGUUAUGUGCCACAUCUUCUCACUUCUGUGCUUGAUGCAUGCCUGAAAGUUAAAUUUCCAAUAGCAGCAACUGGGUGAUUGUUUUCAGAGCGAAGCUGUAUACCUGCUGGUUUAAGACACUGAUUUGCCCACCCAGCCAGGAUGCAUCCGCACUUUUCCUUUGCCCCACAGCCAAGGAAUCCUCACCCCAAGCUCUCCGCCUGGCCAGCAGGAGGAUUUUUCCUCUGACCACAGGCUUGUGGCUGGGAAUGACAGCCCCUUCCUCCAGGCUGUCCAGGAACACAGCCGGGCGCACAUCCUGCUUCAAUAGAAGUGAUUCCCAUUAUUUAACCCCAAGCUGUGGGCUGUGGCACACCGCAACUUCAUGGAGGGACCUGAGACACUACCAAAAGCCUGUCGGUGGGCCAGGUGAUCUCGUUGCAUUUAUUGCUUUGUGAUGUGAAUCACUUACAAGUCACCCAUAACUUCAGCAUCUUGAAUCACGUGCGUGAAGCAACCGAGCUGUCCCGCUGAGCUUUACCAUUUGCCAGCUGUCGAUGAUAAAACGUUCUGCAUUGGAGAUGCUGCCUCUUCUUCCUCUGAGGUAUCGCAGGAGAAAUCGCAGACUGAUGUUUUUGGUGCAAACCGCCCACCUUUCAAUCAGCUCCGCCAGAAAGUUACAGAACGCUUUGUUCCAGUGAACUGCUGCCUUUCAGUCUUCCCUCAGCCCCCUCCCAAGUGAGCAGCACAAACGGGCUCUGUAACCACCACCCCUCUUCAGAUUUACCUGCACUAUUUUGGCUGCACAAACAAGGGAACGUGUUGAGAAGCGAUGCAGAGGAGUCAAUCCUCCUACAAGGAGGACUUGGCCCUGGAGGUGGGCGAAGUGCCCUGCCUGACCCCAGCGGGAGGAUUUUCAACUAACAAGAUGUGCCGUGGGAGGUGUGGUACCUACGGCGAUGCCUGGUGGACCUGCCAACCCUCACCGCAACAUCUGGGGAAAAUGCUCAGUAUUGAGUGGUG